CUAAGCACAGGCCACAGAGCACGACCCUUGGCGCUAAAGGAAGAGACCCAACAUGGAGUCAGCAUUUAGGGAGCAUCGGUGAGAACUACUUCUUCUAAGCUAAAAAUGUCUAGCACCUGAAAAAAAAAAUCAAGACGGGUUCUCUCUGGAUACAAGAGGACAGGAUUUAAGUCCUCACUGCAGUCAGACACACUGGAUUAUAUUUGUUAAGUGUUGCCUCCCUAAACUAGAACAUAAGUUCUGUGAAACCAGGGGAUGAAGACUGCAUUGGCACGUGAUGAAAUAUUACAGGAACAGGCCGUGAGCAUUUGUAAGACACACCCUUCGCUCUGAAUCAAUGCCGUAAGAGCAGCACCCCUGAAUAACAUUUCCCACUUGAGAAACACAUCUGUCAGGUGAUGUCAACGCCUGGCUUCCUCUGCUUCCUGUUGGGUUCAAACGUGGCCUUCUCUCAUGGUCCUGGAAUGCUGACAUGGUCGAGUGGCCAGAGCCAAACACAGGGUUUGCAUGGUUGACUGUUCCUAAUCAGAGAUCACCUUGGUGACACACCGAGUUCCUCUGAAGCUGGGCACCAGUAGGCCUUCAGGGAAAUGAAGCAUGUGGCUACUUCAGCCAGACAGUCAGUCUCUGUUUGAUGACUGUGCAAUGACUGAGAAAGCCUUCUGACUUCACUCCUGUGCUCCAGCAUUGUCAUGGCUUUGGUGCUUGGAGCAUCGAUUCGGCACUGCCUUGUGAGAUCCAGGAAAAUAAAAAUGAAUCAGUAAAAACAUUUUUACUUGGAUCAUCCAAGGAACUCUCUCAAGAGACAGAGGAGAAUCCAGACAAAGAACUGAUAAAACUGGUUUUCUUAAUCUGCCACUUUCCUUAUUCUGCCAGAAAGUUAGCAAUCCAAUGUGAGCAUGAUCAGCAGUGUGUAAAAAACCUAUAAUUAAGGACUCGGAUGUUUUCUCUACUGGCUUUAUCUUUUAAAUAAGAACACCUCUUCAACUGUAAACAACAGCUCUUGGUGGCUGUUUUUAUUUGAAUAAAAUUGUGUUUAAAAUUGUUAAAAA
Camelus dromedarius (Arabian camel) is the source of this 1052-nucleotide long non-coding RNA. RefSeq lists it as uncharacterized. The transcript has 7 exons. NCBI's taxonomy places the organism in Eukaryota, Metazoa, Chordata, Mammalia, Artiodactyla, Camelidae. The record is from RefSeq and is a predicted model, not a curated record.